This 4929-nucleotide long non-coding RNA is filed under the name Musa acuminata (dwarf banana). RNAcentral's name for it is "long non-coding RNA (MACU_LNC004952)". The record is from RNAcentral. Lineage: Eukaryota; Viridiplantae; Streptophyta; Magnoliopsida; Zingiberales; Musaceae.
GAUGGAGAUCCGGAUCCUUGACAUCUUUGAAGAGGAUUCUACCUUUCGCCCGCUCACCUCCCUCCGCCACCAUUGGUUUGAGCCCUCAGACCUCCUCCAUAAAAACAUUCUCCUCUUUUUAGAGUCAUAUAACAAUGAGCUCAACACCCUUGAGGCCAUAGACAUUAUCGUCGAUGAUGGGAGAUUGUGCAAUAUGAUCGAGAGAGGCGGGCUAGAGCAACGACUAAGGGAGGCAAUAAGAUCAUCGCACAUGUUGUAUGCCCCAUGCUUUAUAACAUGACAAGGACCUUCGUUCCUUCACCUUAGCAUUCGCGCCUUCGUCAAGGGAGUCAAGAGAGGGAAAUCUCGAGGGUUAUCACCAUGGAGGUUGUCACCAUGGAAAUUGUUACAACAAGGGUUAUCAUUGUGGUAGAGCAUAGCUGACAAUAGAAUCACCGUGGAGAAAAUUUUCAGAAGGCGAUGAAGGUGGUCACGAUAGCCAACAAUGCGACGAGACGAAGAAAACGACUACAGCGAAAUGAAAGGGUAAUCACAUCUUUUAGAAAUAAAUGGUAUUCUAUGGGGGAAAGUUUUUUUUUUUUUUGAGAAUUUAUCUUUAAAUUUUUAGAUGAAAUGAUUGAUGAUAAAAUCUCACAUUUUAGAUAAAAUUGUCUCUUUUUUUAUUUGAAGUCAAUAGUUUCAAAAACUCCGAUUAAACUCUACGCCCUCCUUCAUACAUAUUCCUAAUUUUGCGUUUUUGACUCUGAUCCUAACUUUAAACUUUUGAUCGUUUUACGAUGCUUAGCAUUUGCAACAAAUCCCCCUCCUCUUUUUAUUUUUAAUGUAGAUAAUCUAUUUCCAUUUAUCUUAUUCCAUUUAGAAUAUGAGCCAUGGGUACAUACAUAAUGUGUUCUAACGUUUUCUGAUACAUUCAGAAGCGAACCAAUACUUGUUGUAGACUAUGAGUUCAUAACCAUAGAAGUAAAUUUAUCUUUGUUCUCAACAUUCAUGGUUUUAAUUCUAAUAAGCACAAAGGACUUUGAGAUCAAUAUUUUGCCACCCCCCAAUGAUUGAGAUGCCCCAUAUCAUUAAGCUCAUCUUGCAACCAUGUCUCCAGAUAAGAUCAAUAGUAGCAACAAAUUUUUAGUCCUUGGUAAACAUUGAAACUGUCCUUUGUUAAAAUAAAGCAGACAGUUAACUCAAAAUCUCACCUGAGACAAAUCACCGAAUAUGGGGAGCUGAAUAGUAUAGGGCUAUUCUCAGAUGCUACAGCAGCAAAAUAAGAUUCACAACCCUUUCUUCGUCUCUCAAUGUUGUCCACAGUAGAGUGACAAAAGAGCCAUCUAUGAUUCAUUACAAAUAAUUUUUCCAUUGCAUUCAAUAGACAUACAAGAAAGAACACAUUUCCAGAUUUCAGUUAUAUCAGAAGCAGCACCCUAAUUGCCUUACAAGCUAUUGUGUCAUUAAUUUAUAUCUACAACAGUAUAUAUAAUUUACAUCAAACACUAUGUAUAAGCUGUUAAAUCCCAUAAAAUUAUCAACACAGCAACCAUUUAAAUUCUCUCAAGCUUCACAUCAUUUAGUAAGUGCAAGAUGUUGAUCUGCGUCAAUAAAUAAAGUCAUUGUCUAUGGCCUCUAAAUCAUCUCGAAGUCUUGAUGUUGCUUCAUCUGAAUUGCUAAACUCAGCCUGCAGGUUGUGUAAAAACAACCAUCAGAAACAUGACUUGAAAUCUACUUAAUGCAUUACAAAAGAUACGGAACUUGAGUAAAAGUUAGCAGGACACUCUAGGAAUGUUACUUGAGAUCUAUAACAACAUUAUUUUCUCCAUUUUCUUUUGGGGAAUGGAUUUCUGCUAUUUUUUAUUCUCUUCCGGUGGACUACACAUAUCAAACAUGUAUCAUAUUCAUGUAAGAGACAAGUUCAGUAUGCCACAGAUUUGUCAUAUCUACUUUAGAGAUUUAGGAAAUUUCAAAAAAUAAACUCAUGCUAUCUAAUAUAUACAUAAAUUUGUAAAGCACUAGAAGACUGAAUUAGAUAUCUUUGUCCUACAGCUCAUGUUCCUCCCAUUUAUCAAACCAUAGGUGCAGGAAAGUUAUUAGACAUUUAUUCAGUAAAAUGAAUUUGCAAGAAAUCCAUUAAGAAUAGUACAUGCUUUCAAAAUGAAUGGUUCUUGCAAGAUGUGAUGCCUUUAGCAGGUAUAAUAAUCAUUUCACUUGAUCAAUGGACAGAUUUCAUGGGAAUUGUACAAACAAAUAUAAAGUCAUUGAAUAAAACACCUCUGUUAAAUCUAGGCCUUCAAUGUAUGUCACGUAACUGGUUCCAAUCUAGGUUGGUUUUUUUACCUUGGCUUCGUGGUAUCGCCCAAGCAUGCGGCGGUACUGCUGCCUUGCGUCAGGGGACUCUACCAUCGACAGAACCCUUGAAACAGCUUCAUCGACAGCUGCAUCCACUUUUUGCUUCCUGAAAAUCUUAGUUAUGUCUUCUUCUUCCUCAUCACGGACCAUUUCUGGUUCAGCCCGAAACCCUCGUAAGCCAACUCCUUUCCUACGCCACCGCAAUAUGACCUUUUCAAUGACACUAACUGUCCAAACAAAUUCUCUAUACUUCUUUCGUACUUGAUGGCCUCUUACAUGAGCCUGUAAAGUUGAUGAAACAAAAGAAUGUGAGGGAACUGUAAGCCUUUAUUCCAUUAAAAGCAAUAUAUAUGUAUCCAAUUUGCUUUCCCAAUUAAAUUUCAGAGACCUCCCAUUUCCUAGUAUUGCAUUUACAACAGAACGUAAGAUGAGGAAUGAUCUGCUUAAGGACAAUCAAACAUCAAAUUUCAACAGGAAACUGAAUUUUAAUGCUAUAUAAAAAUCCUUUAUUCUAGAUAUGAUACUCAAUAAUAGAAUAGUAAUCUAUUAUAAUAAAAAAAGAACCUAGGUAAAAGAAAGUAGUAGUCAUAGAUGUCAAAACUGAGACAAUAUCCCUAUCAGGACGAGAUGAGAACAAAUUUGUGGGAGAUCAGUCUCAUCCACUUGAAUAACUCAGAAUUGAUGACUAUUAAAUAGUAUUAAGAUUUUUAGGAGUCUUAGUUGUUCCAUAUAUUUCGUGAGUUAUUCUUUAUUCAGAAAAAUUCUUGUGUCAAUCAAAAUCUCAUGUCAGAAAUUUUAUCAACAAGUAACAAAUAGAUUUUCAACUUGGUGUCUCUCAAUCCACUUCGGGAAGGACUACCAACAUGACUACCUUCAGCAUCCAGAAUUGAUUUGCAAAUAAAACACGUGUAAUAAGAUUUUAACAGGCGUCCGAGAUAUAUAAUUGUUAUUGCAAAUUAUCAUUUAAUGUAAUUCAUAAAUAAGCUGGUACAAUCUCCAAGUUAAUUGUGCCUUUGUACCAUGUAAAUUUUAAUAACACUGGUAAUAUAAGGAAUGCCAUUGAUGCAUGCAUGCUUGCACAGAACUACUGAAUAACAAACUCUGAUGAUUAUAAACAACAGAGAAUAACACAUCAUAUUUAGAGUACCUGUAUCUUCACUACAUGCUGGCGCAAAGUAAGAAAGUCUUUACGUCCCUUCCAACCUCGGUACUUUUUCUGGAUAGAUAGAGCUGCUUUAUCAAAAUUAUGAUCAUGUGAACCAUGAUAAAGGCGAUGACCCUUUGACGCUGCUGAAAGUUCUUGUAUGUCUCCUGGGGUCAUACCAUAAUCAUCACAACUCCAAGCAGAUUUUAGUUGUCUCUUCCUGAACGAAUGGGCACGGAAGGCAGCUUGUAUGCGAGCAGCAGCUUGAGCUGCAUUUCUGACAGCUGCCAAAGAAUCUUUUAGAGAAAGUUCAUCUUCAGUUCCACCACGUAUUUCAACACUUCUCUGAGAUAUGCUCUCAACAGCUCUUUCUGCUUCCACCUCAGCAGAACCCUUGGAUAUCUCGCUUUCUUCAAUAACGAGAGAAGAGAGAUGGCUAGUUAAAGCAACUUCUGAAAGAUAUCCAGCAAGACCUUUCUGACCUGUAGCAGAGGCUAGGAAUCCUGGUGUUUUGCCUAGUGGAUCUUGUGUGGUGGGAUCAGUGACUAACCCAGCUGAUGCACCAGCAGCAAGAAGUGCAGCUACCAUUUUCUCUCUGCAAAAGGUAAAAAGAAAGUUCCACCUAUAUCAGCAACAGAACUUUUAAUUCACUAAUUAAGAUUUAGGCAAAUUCUGUAUGAAAUAUAAGGUUUUUGUUAUUGGUUCUGCACAUUUGCCAGAAAAACAACUGACUUGAGAAUAUUGAAACCUGCUAUAUAUGGUAACAAUAUUCUAUUGGUCUGAGAGGGGAACCAAAUAGAUCCAAGAAUAGGUAUGACAAUAACAGAUGGUUAGAUAAACAAUUCUACACACCUGCCAUAAUGUGCAGCCCAAUGCAGGGCUGUCCAUCCAUUUGAAUCACGGAAAUUUAUGCCAACACCAAAAUCAAGAAUUGGACCUAGACCCCACUCGUAUCCAAGACCAGAAAUUAAAUGUAUAAUGCCUUGCUCUUGCUUUGACAACAAACAACCUGUUUGUUCAUUGCUCUGACGUCUCAAUGACAGCCAAUUCUGUAGCUUGUCUUUUAAUAGUUCUUGCAUGAUCCAGUCUCUGGUGUCUAGUGAAAUAUCACAGCCCAUUUGGAGUGCCUCAAUGAUUUGCUGCCAGCGUUCAUCUGUUGUAUUCACUUUUCUAGAAUUCUCAAGUUGAGUUUCGAUAGCACCUUUUGCAAUUGUUGAACCAUCGUAUCCACAUAACAUCAUUUGUACUAGUCUAGCAAGGAGCAACAAUUCUUCAGAAUUUUUUGCUGCAUCAGUUGUACAUAUAUCUCCAGAGCUAGAGGUGGUAGGCUUAGUACGAAAUUCAAAUUCUCGUACUUCACUGCAGGAUUCUCUGUUCCCAGAUGUGACACAUAGGGUGACUUUGCCACUACUAUGUUGUGGAGUUUGGCAACGAAGUACACCUUCUUGAAC